AGAGUUUGAUCAUGGCUCAGAGCGAACGCUGGCGGCAGGCCUAACACAUGCAAGUCGAACGAACUCUUCGGAGUUAGUGGCGGACGGGUGAGUAACACGUGGGAACGUGCCUUUAGGUUCGGAAUAACUCAGGGAAACUUGUGCUAAUACCGAAUGUGCCCUUCGGGGGAAAGAUUUAUCGCCUUUAGAGCGGCCCGCGUCUGAUUAGCUAGUUGGUAGUGUAAUGGACUACCAAGGCGACGAUCAGUAGCUGGUCUGAGAGGAUGAUCAGCCACAUUGGGACUGAGACACGGCCCAAACUCCUACGGGAGGCAGCAGUGGGGAAUCUUGCGCAAUGGGCGAAAGCCUGACGCAGCCAUGCCGCGUGAAUGAUGAAGGUCUUAGGAUUGUAAAAUUCUUUCACCGGGGACGAUAAUGACGGUACCCGGAGAAGAAGCCCCGGCUAACUUCGUG
This 453-nucleotide ribosomal RNA is filed under the name uncultured bacterium. RNAcentral describes it as "bacterial SSU rRNA". It matches the Rfam family "Bacterial small subunit ribosomal RNA", at positions 8 to 507 of the family's 1533-position model. The record is from RNAcentral.